This 872-nucleotide ribosomal RNA is filed under the name Neomycosphaerella pseudopentameridis. Its description in RNAcentral is "eukaryotic LSU rRNA". It matches the Rfam family "Eukaryotic large subunit ribosomal RNA", at positions 50 to 955 of the family's 3401-position model. The record is from RNAcentral. Lineage: Eukaryota; Fungi; Ascomycota; Dothideomycetes; Mycosphaerellales; Mycosphaerellaceae.
GCGGAGGAAAAGAAACCAACAGGGAUUGCCCUAGUAACGGCGAGUGAAGCGGCAACAGCUCAAAUUUGAAAUCUGGCGCAAGCCCGAGUUGUAAUUUGUAGAGGAUGCUUCGGGGCAGCGGCCGUUCUAAGUCUCUUGGAACAGGGCGUCAUAGAGGGUGAGAAUCCCGUAUGUGACCGGCGCGCACCCUCCACGUAGCUCCUUCGAAGAGUCGAGUUGUUUGGGAAUGCAGCUCUAAAUGGGAGGUAAAUUUCUUCUAAAGCUAAAUACCGGCCAGAGACCGAUAGCGCACAAGUAGAGUGAUCGAAAGAUGAAAAGCACUUUGGAAAGAGAGUUAAAAAGCACGUGAAAUUGUUGAAAGGGAAGCGCUUGCAACCAGACUUCGCGGCGGUGUUCCGCCGGUCUUCUGACCGGCCCACUCGCCGCCGCGAGGCCAUCAUCGUCUGGGGCCGCCGGAUAAGACUCGAGGAAUGUGGCUCCCUUCGGGGAGUGUUAUAGCCUCGGGUGAUGCGGCGCGCCCCGGGCGAGGUCCGCGCUCCGGCAAGGAUGAUGGCGUAAUGGUUGCCAGCGGCCCGUCUUGAAACACGGACCAAGGAGUCUAACAUCUAUGCGAGUGUUCGGGUGUCAAACCCCUACGCGCAAUGAAAGUGAACGGAGGUGGGAGCUUCGGCGCACCAUCGACCGAUCCUGAUGUCCUCGGAUGGAUUUGAGUAAGAGCAUAGCUGUUGGGACCCGAAAGAUGGUGAACUAUGCCUGAAUAGGGUGAAGCCAGAGGAAACUCUGGUGGAGGCUCGCAGCGGUUCUGACGUGCAAAUCGAUCGUCAAAUUUGGGUAUAGGGGCGAAAGACUAAUCGAACCAUCUAGUAGCUGGU